AUGAAGAACGCAGUGAAAUGCGAUAAGUAAUGUGAAUUGCAGAAUUCAGUGAAUCAUCGAAUCUUUGAACGCACAUUGCGCCCCCUGGUAUUCCGGGGGGCAUGCCUGUCCGAGCGUCAUUACAACCCUCAAGCUCAGCUUGGUGUUGGGCCCCGCCGCCCCGGCGGGCCCUAAAGUCAGUGGCGGUGCCGUCCGGCUCCGAGCGUAGUAAUUCUUCUCGCUCUGGAGGUCCGGUCGUGUGCUCGCCAGCAACCCCCAAUUUUUUUCAGGUUGACCUCGGAUCAGGUAGGGAUACCCGCUGAACUUAAGCAUAUCAAUAAGCGGAGGA
RNAcentral lists this unclassified non-coding RNA (328 nucleotides) under soil metagenome. Its description in RNAcentral is "partial contains 5.8S ribosomal RNA, internal transcribed spacer 2, and large subunit ribosomal RNA". The stretch from base 1 to 119 matches the Rfam family "5.8S ribosomal RNA", at positions 36 to 154 of the family's 154-position model. The record is from RNAcentral.